CAUUUGAAAACCACUAGAAUGAAGCAUUAAUCUCAUCUUUGAGCUGCUUGAGUCUCUCUCUUCAAACCUUUUAACCUCUCUGUUACACUUUUUGCACCUCUACAGGUAAGGGCCUUGGUUUGUUAGUUGUUUCUACAGAGGUGUCCUGGUGGGAAGCCCGGCAGCACUGCCUGCAGAGAGGUACUGACUUGGCCGUCGUCAGGAACCAGGCGGAAAACCAGAUGUUACGGAGCAUGUUUAAUGAAAGCAAGGCUUUCUGGGUGGGUUUGUUCAGAGAUGAGUGGCAAUGGUCGGACCAGAGCGACAGUUCUUUCCGAUCCUGGUACAUAACUCAGCCAAAUGGCGAUGGCCCAUGUGCAUUGCUUUACAAGGACAAGACAUGGGGUGACAGAGCUUGUGGUGACCGCCAUCCUUUCAUCUGUCACACCGAAAAAGAAGUAAGAAAACAGACCAUUGUGAAGGUGGAAAUGAAGUCAAAUUCAGACCUGAAUGACCCGACUGUGAGUGAAGCCAUUUUGAACCAAAUCCAACAGAAGUACGGCAUGGUCAAGCUUCAAUGGAGAAUCCAGCCGGACGGAAAGAUUUUCCACAAAAAAGAAAAGAAGGAAAUCAAAGAAACCUGUAAAAAUAAAGUAAAGUCGACGUUAUGAAAUGAUCUGCAGUGCAAAACAAGACUUGACAAUUACUCCUGAAAACAUGCAAAGGCACCUUAAGGGUGAAAGAUAAAAUUACAGUAACAUCAUGAGAAGUUCAACCAAAAAUAGAUGUUUAUUUUUUAAAGACAGUAAACAUUAUUCACAUUUUAAAAAAUGCUCUUUGGAAAGAGAUUUUGUUGCAAUUGACAAAAACAUUUUUUUUUAUAAAAGUCAAUAACUUAGCAUUUUUAAUACCCUGCAUUUAGGAUACGUGUUGAUAUGUAUGUGAGAGUCAUUAUAUAUGUUUCAUUAUGUAGGUUUAGUAAGUGAUAGAAAGAUGUCUCACCUUUUAGGUGUUUGCUUGCCUACUCCCUUCUAAACGUAUCUUACAUCUUUAUUUUAUUCAGAAUUUGUUUGUCUUCUUGUAUUUUGUUGCAUAUUUUAUCUCAAUAGAUUUAAUGAUGAGGCAAUUGUUUUAAAUGUUCACACUGUCUUCACUAUUCACUCAUGUUGCUGAUAAGCAGUUGUGCUGCAUCCUUUUGCACAAAAUGAAUAAAAAUACGGGGGGGGGGGGGCAGUUGGAGCAGCUCGGAGUAACAGGUGCACAGGAGGCCCUUUGACAGAGUUUGGACCAGUGGGAGCCUUGUCCCUGCUGCCCCAAUCUGGUGUCUCUUUGUCUUUUUAAAUAGAGAUGCAUCUCUUUUACUGGGUUUUGAUGGUGGGGCAGAACCUCUGAGACUACUUUUAGAUUCAGUCAUUUAUGGACAUUGUUGUUUUUCUGGAGUUUGACUGUUUUUAAUUCGUAGUUUGUGAUUCAGAGUGCAAUAAAACGUCUUGUAAAUUCA
Molecule: long non-coding RNA, 1480 nt
Organism: Pungitius pungitius (ninespine stickleback)
Lineage: Eukaryota; Metazoa; Chordata; Actinopteri; Perciformes; Gasterosteidae
Exons: 3
Source: RefSeq, a predicted model, not a curated record